AGAGUAGAGGUUGCGCUGAUUAUCAGUAAGCUGCCUGAUGCAGCAGGUGCACAGGAGGGCAGUGGAAAGGAAGAAGCGCCGAAGAACAGAGUUGCCUGACCAUAUCUGUUCUGGGUAUAGAGCGAACAGCUGUAUAACUGUCAUCCAGCCGGAUGGAGAGCUACUUGA
RNAcentral lists this non-coding RNA (168 nucleotides) under Candidatus Hungatella pullicola. RNAcentral's name for it is "Lysine riboswitch". It matches the Rfam family "Lysine riboswitch aptamer". Rfam says of the family: Riboswitches are metabolite binding domains within certain messenger RNAs that serve as precision sensors for their corresponding targets. Allosteric rearrangement of mRNA structure is mediated by ligand binding, and this results in modulation of gene expression. The record is from RNAcentral. Lineage: Bacteria; Bacillati; Bacillota; Clostridia; Lachnospirales; Lachnospiraceae.